RNAcentral lists this long non-coding RNA (1083 nucleotides) under Fukomys damarensis (Damara mole-rat). RNAcentral describes it as "lncRNA (ENSFDAG00000022555.1)". Lineage: Eukaryota; Metazoa; Chordata; Mammalia; Rodentia; Bathyergidae. The record is from RNAcentral.
CCCACCUAAACACAGGACUCACAGUCCCCUUGGGGCCACAGUACAGCAGUGAGGACAGUGCCUGGCCCACAGCAGCCACUGCCUGCCAUGAGCCCAACUGUCACUGUUAUUGCUGCUGGACAUCAGCAACUCCAUCCCAGACUCACACACGGCCAUCCGUGUAACAAGCAGAAGCAGGUUCAGAGCUAUUUCCAGCGCUGGGGAAGGAAGAGCCCCCGCACAACUGGAUGUCACUGGCCACAUGGUACCGAUGCCAUCCUACUCCUCCACCAUGAUGGGAGAUUCAAACCGCUCUGGAAAGCCUUGAGUGACGGUCAAACUCUCCACCUCAGAAGUGACAAGGAAACAAUUCCUGUUUCCCAGCCCUCUUGAGUGACUGAUGAAUGAAUCCAGCCCAAGACUUGACAGAGUAGCUAAAAAUGACCCACCCUCAGUCCCUUGUUCACUCAUCCACUCACAAACAUACUGUGAGUCCUCCUCUCUCCCAGGCCGGUGCUGAGUGUUGGGGACACAGAAUCCCUGGAAUAGGGAGGGCUCCACCUAACAAGAUCACAGCAAAGGUAGAAGGUGAGGGCUGCCACAUCCACGGAGGUGGCCACUGAGCUCACAGCCAUCUGAUCCUGAGCAGAGGCGGUGAUCCAUGGGACAGCGAGGGGUGAGCAUGCGAGGAGCAGAGGGAGGAACAACUGAAUCCGCUGAGACAGGAACAGUGUGAGGAAGGGCACAAGGCAUGCAGGAGGUGAACAGAGUUGUGCUGGCCUGGAGCACAGACUCAUAGAGGGCUGAGCACUGGGGCAGAAACUGCGAGUCUUUGGAAAAACGCAGGCCUGAAAAUUCUCUGCUGAAAAACUGGGAUCUUAUUCUCAGAGUCACCGAAGACCCUUAACCAGGGGAGUGGCACGAUUAGACUCUGCAGAUCUUACUCAUGCCAUUUCCUGGUUUAUUUUCACCUUCAUGGUCUUUGCCAUCCAAAGGCUUCCCCUGUCCCAGGAGAUCUGAGGACUAUGAUCAUUAAAAUAGUGCUAACCUUAGCUUGCAAUUAGAUUGCAGUUUCCUCAGUACUCGACUCCGCAGAGCUAGAAG